This 194-nucleotide ribosomal RNA is filed under the name uncultured Bacillus sp. Its description in RNAcentral is "partial 16S ribosomal RNA". It matches the Rfam family "Bacterial small subunit ribosomal RNA", at positions 338 to 524 of the family's 1533-position model. Lineage: Bacteria; Bacillati; Bacillota; Bacilli; Caryophanales; Bacillaceae. The record is from RNAcentral.
CCUACGGGAGGCAGCAGUAGGGAAUCUUCCGCAAUGGACGAAAGUCUGACGGAGCAACGCCGCGUGAGCGAAGAAGGCCCUCGGGUCGUAAAGCUCUGUUGUUAGGGAAGAACAAGUACCGGAGUAACUGCCGGUACCUUGACGGUACCUAACCAGAAAGCCACGGCUAACUACGUGCCAGCAGCCGCGGUAAU